GACGAACGCUGGCGGCGUGCUUAACACAUGCAAGUCGAACGGAAAGGCCCUGCUUUUGUGGGGUGCUCGAGUGGCGAACGGGUGAGUAACACGUGAGUAACCUGCCCUUGACUUUGGGAUAACUUCAGGAAACUGGGGCUAAUACCGGAUAGGAGCUCCUGCUGCAUGGUGGGGGUUGGAAAGUUUCGGCGGUUGGGGAUGGACUCGCGGCUUAUCAGCUUGUUGGUGGGGUAGUGGCUUACCAAGGCUUUGACGGGUAGCCGGCCUGAGAGGGUGACCGGCCACAGUGGGACUGAGAUACGGCGCAGUCGCCUACGGGAGGCAGCAGUGGGGAAUAUUGCACAAUGGGCGGAAGCCUGAGGCAGCAACGCCGCGUGCGGGAUGACGGCCUUCGGGUUGUAAGCCGCUUUCGCCUGUGACGAAGCGGGAGUGACGGUAAUGGGUAAAGAAGCACCGGCUAACUACGUG
RNAcentral lists this ribosomal RNA (468 nucleotides) under uncultured bacterium. RNAcentral describes it as "partial 16S ribosomal RNA". It matches the Rfam family "Bacterial small subunit ribosomal RNA", at positions 28 to 507 of the family's 1533-position model. The record is from RNAcentral.